AUAGCUCUAGCUACUUGCAUCAUUGUAAAAAUGAUGCAGGAUCGACUAUGUCGAAUAAAAUUCUAGGUAGAAUUUUGAUAAUGACAUUGUCUGCCUAUGUGUCUUGACCAAAUUACGUGCCAGCAGUCGCGGUAAUACGUAGAAGACUAGUGUUAUUCAUGUUUAAUCGGUUUAAAGGGUACCUAGACGGUAAAUCAAGCCUAAAAUUAAGUGAAGGGACUAAUUUACUAGAGUUACUUAUGAGGGGGUAUUAAAGUACUGCUGGUGUAGAGAUGAAAUUCUGUCAUACCUCUUUUCAAUAGAAAAAUAACGGCACAGGUAUAGGCGAAAGCAUCCCCUUAUGUGAUAACUGACGUUGAGGGACGAAGGCUUUGUGUAGCGAACAGGAUUAGAUACCCCAGUAGUCAAAGCAGAAAAUGAUGAAUGUCAUAGAUUAGAUAAAUAAGUUUAUUCUAUAAAUGAAAGUGUAAGCAUUCCACCUCAAGAGUAAUUUGGCAACAUUGGAACUGAAAUCAUUAGACCGUUUCUGAAACCAGUAGUGAAGUAUGUUGUUUAAUUUGAUGAUCCGCAAAAAACCUUACCACAAUUUGAAUAUUUAUAUCUUUUAUUGUUUUUUUUUUAUUUUUCUUCUGAUUUUCAUUGUAUGAUUUUCUUCUUAUUCUAUUUGCAUGUGCAUGCACAU
RNAcentral lists this ribosomal RNA (682 nucleotides) under Hypogymnia pulverata. RNAcentral's name for it is "SSU rRNA". It matches the Rfam family "Bacterial small subunit ribosomal RNA", at positions 372 to 1027 of the family's 1533-position model. The record is from RNAcentral. Lineage: Eukaryota; Fungi; Ascomycota; Lecanoromycetes; Lecanorales; Parmeliaceae.